This is a microRNA precursor of Oryza sativa Indica Group (long-grained rice), 209 nucleotides long. It matches the Rfam family "MIR812 microRNA precursor family". The record is from Rfam. NCBI's taxonomy places the organism in Eukaryota, Viridiplantae, Streptophyta, Magnoliopsida, Poales, Poaceae.
AAUAAGUGCAGUUUUGCACUAUUCAUGUUCAACGUUUAACCGUCCGUCUUAUUUGAAAAUUUUUUAUGAUUAGUAUUUUUAUUGCUAUUAGAUGAUAAAACAUGAAUAGUACUUUAUGUGUGACUAAAUGUUUUUAAUUUUUUUACAAAUUUUUCAAAUAAGACGGACGGUCAAACGUUGAACGUGAAUAAUGCAAAAAUGCACUUAUU